AGUCUCCGUGGCAACCCGGCUCAGGGCACGGGGGAGGGGCUGGGGCGGGGCCUGCGCAGGGCUGACGGAAUCCCGGCUACCCUGCCCCAAAUCUGCAGAAGCCCCGCGUCCGGGUUACACUUUCCGCGGUAGGUCCCGCAGACCCGCUCUCCCUUCGCCUGGGGGCACGGGCGCGGUCACUUCCGUGCCUUUGCACCAGCUGCGCUCCCUCCGGUUGCUCCGGCCCCCAGACACCCACAGGGAUUUCUUUCUCACUUUCAAGCCUCUGCUCGAGUGGUUCGCCUUUUGAGACGCUCUCCUCAAUAGCACUUAUUUCCUUCUGGUAAACUGUAGGGUCAGCUCCACAGCAGAAGGGAUUUUUGUAUAUCGUCGCCGGCUGGACUCAGUGCCUGGCGCACAGGCAUCCCAUAAACCCUCGUGAAUAAAUGCAUACAGGAGACCCGAUUCUGGGUCGAAGGAGGACUGCCCUUCGUGCCUCAAUGUGACCCAAGGAGUAAGAGAGUCUGAGGACUGUUUCCGGGGCCUUGUUUCCAUGAUGCUCUGGGGUGAGAAAGGAGCAGGAAACCUACCCCAAAAACGUUAAUCAGUAGAAACUGCAUUAUCACCCAGCGCAGACCGGAACCAUUUCUGUUGGUUCCAGCCCAAUGAUGCAUUUAUGUCCAUCCACUCAACUCAACGAGUAUUCAUUGAGCACCUGCUGCGUGCGCGACCCUGUGCAGGAAUGCAGCCCGUGAAACGACAGAUUCAACAGUCACCCACAUUCAAACCAAGCCCCAGGACGCUGCAGCCCAAGAACCUGCGAAGCCAUACAGAGCAGUUACCCCCACAGCAGUCACAAUCCUAAUGCAGAAUUAAAGGGUCCCUCAUUCCACACCUGCUUGGGGAGUCCGUCAGGACUGAUGCCAGGACUAGCCCGGGAGGCCAGCAUGGGGCACAGUCACCUUGAUUCUCUCUCUACUGAUUGAUGCCUUUCGAGUGCUGCUAACUAUAUUCUAAAUAAUUUCAAACUUGCAGAAAUGUAUCAAGAAUAGCACAGAGAACCCUGCGUGCCCUUGACCCAGAUGCAUCCAUUAGUAGCAUUUUGCCACUUUUGUUGUCUCUCUGUGUUUCUGUGGAAUUUCAGGCAAGGUUGCUGUCCCCACACCCCUUUAUCCCAAACAUGCCCAGGUGUGUUCUCCAAAAGCGGGCCACUCUGUUACCUGAACCAGCAGCCCAUUUGCCAAGUGGGGUAGUUAGCGCCCGUGGACACCAAGCCACAGCUGCUUGGUAGCCUCAUCCAUGGCCGGUGCUCGUCCCUGUUGUGGUGCCUUCGUUCUGCAUCCUGUUAUCUCAUCAGUCCUCCCACUGGGACAUCCUUGGCCAUGACCUUGACACAGGGCGUUUGUGGCUUGGGUCAGGCCCACACAGUUCCAACCCCAGAAAACUGGGACCUGGGCAAACACAGAAGAUAAAUGAAACUAGGAAGGGACGUGGGGCAGCCCAUCCCUCACUGCCGUGCAAAUUGGGGAUGGGGAAGAGCGCUAAAGGGGACAGUAUGGCAGAGGGGUCCGAUGGCAGUUGCUUCUCACAUCUCAGGGAGACCAACCCCUUGGGGACCCUGCUGUGCUGAGCUGGCCAAUGAAAAAUAAAAAUAAGCACGGGCUGCCACUGACAUGCACCCACCGCACACCAUUCACUCCUCCCAGCCACCCCAGCAGAAAUAACCCCGGUUCUCCUCCAUUUCACCGAUGGGGAAACUGAGGCCCAGGGAGGAGACCGCUUGCGCAAGGUGGCCGCUUCAGGGCAUGACCAAGUCUGCCUCUUGGGAAAGGGGUUCCCUUCCCCUGUCACCCUGGCAGGGACGAGACCACCAUUCAUUCACUCACACGUGUUGGAGCAGAGGGACCGUGUGCCUGGGGCAAGGACUCAGCCAGGACACGUCCGCCGAGCCGGCCACCCACCCAGUAUCAAACACCGUGAUGGCCAGAAUAAGGGCUCCCAAACGCAUCUGACUGUAGCCCAGUGGGAGCCAUGUUAGACUCCUGCUCUCCAGAAAGUUCUGGAGGUCAGAAGUCUAACAUGGGUCUUGCUCAGCUAAAGCCAAGGUGUUAGCAGAGCAACAUUCCUGUCUGGAAGUUCCAGGGGAGAAUCUUAUCGUUUGCUCUUCCAGCUUGUAGAGGCCACCCACAUUC
Long non-coding RNA from Manis pentadactyla (Chinese pangolin), 2171 nucleotides. RefSeq lists it as uncharacterized. The record is from RefSeq and is a predicted model, not a curated record. NCBI's taxonomy places the organism in Eukaryota, Metazoa, Chordata, Mammalia, Pholidota, Manidae. The transcript has 3 exons.